AGAGUUUGAUCCUGGCUCAGAUUAAACGCUGGCGGCAUGCCUUACACAUGCAAGUCGAACGGCAGCACGGGGGCAACCCUGGUGGCGAGUGGCGAACGGGUGAGUAAAGCAUCGGAACGUGCCCUGGAGUGGGGGAUAACGUAGCGAAAGUUACGCUAAUACCGCAUAUUCUGUGAGCAGGAAAGCAGGGGAUCGCAAGACCUUGCGCUCUGGGAGCGGCCGAUGUCGGAUUAGCUAGUUGGUGGGGUAAAGGCCUACCAAGGCGACGAUCCGUAGCGGGUCUGAGAGGAUGAUCCGCCACACUGGGACUGAGACACGGCCCAGACUCCUACGGGAGGCAGCAGUGGGGAAUUUUGGACAAUGGGCGAAAGCCUGAUCCAGCCAUGCCGCGUGAGUGAAGAAGGCCUUCGGGUUGUAAAGCUCUUUCGGUGGGGAAGAAAUUGCAUGGGCUAAUACCCUGUGUAGAUGACGGUACCUGGAGAAGAAGCACCGGCUAA
Molecule: ribosomal RNA, 497 nt
Filed under: uncultured Rhodocyclaceae bacterium
Lineage: Bacteria; Pseudomonadati; Pseudomonadota; Betaproteobacteria; Rhodocyclales; Rhodocyclaceae
Description: bacterial SSU rRNA
Rfam family: Bacterial small subunit ribosomal RNA
Source: RNAcentral